This 210-nucleotide ribosomal RNA is filed under the name Triticum aestivum (bread wheat). RNAcentral's name for it is "partial small subunit ribosomal RNA". The record is from RNAcentral. Lineage: Eukaryota; Viridiplantae; Streptophyta; Magnoliopsida; Poales; Poaceae.
AUGCAGGGCGGCGGCCUUGGCGGUGGGAGACGCGACGUUCGUGGGCGGAGCUCGCGUCUCAGGUGCGGGUGUGCAGCCAUGGCCACGCGGGUGGUUUGGUUGCGGGUGGUUGGCGGAGGUAGGGUGCGUUGGAGGGGUGUGAGCGCCGGGGUACACCACUUGCUCAUGGGCCGACGGUGGCGACGUCCGUGGACGCCGUAUCCUUCAUGA